AUAUGUAACAGUAGGAGUUGUGGAUAUAAAAAUGGUAUUGAUGUCCUCAUCAAUAAUGGAUACAGCAGCACAGUGAGCCAACUCUCUCCCUCUAGCUGAUCCUCCUUUACUUAUUAUUUUUCUACACAUGUAGUCUAUAUCACACUAUGAAUAUAUGCAUGCAUAAGAAUAAUGUAUCAUUUUGCUAUGCUGUUGAGCUAUCUUCCCGUCAAUGUAGAUCGUGGUAGUUGUAAUUUUGUUACGCUUUGUAGAUGGGGUUGUUUCGUGUAUACAUUGAGCUUAUGUGAUGAUUAUAUAUAUAACUCAUUGAGUACUCCCUCCAUCCCGAAAUUCAUGUCGUGACGACAAUUUAAAAAAAACUCUCCAGUGUUUCCCGACACAACCCGCGUCCCUCUCUCCAGUGUUCAGUCGCGACGGCGUCUCACUUUCCCCAUUCCCUAGUCGGCCACCACGGUUCACGGCCAGAUCCCGGCCAACUCCGGCCUGUCCUUGCCCUGCCGACCUUUGUCGCCACCCCCUCCUUCCCCUACCUCCGUCCAGUCCAUUUGCCCGCCAAUUCGCAGCCCCAAACAAACCCUGGCCACCGUCGACACUCACAAAUGCCAACUUUCUCACCGCGGAUUGCAUAGAGGAAGGAGAAAUUGCGAUUUUUGUGGUGGUGCGGCAGUGCGUGGUGGUGAUGCACGGAGACCGGCUGCCGAUGUGGCCGUCCAGGAGGCCAAGGUUCUCGCGGACGACGACGAGCAGGCCGCGGGUCCACGGACGAGGGACGCAGGAGGCCUGCUGUCGCCGAGCACCGCUUCUACUCGUGCGAGGAGCGCGUCCGGGUGCUCAAUCUGGAGUGCAUGGCGACAGCCUCAUCCCUGGUCGCCGCGCCGGGGGGAGGUGGCGGUGGCACAGUAACUCGAGCUCCCCUUCUUCGACCCAGCCCCCGAGCCCGAUGCCUCGUCUCCCCUCAGGACUACCUACCUAGCAGCAGCAGCAGAGGCUGGGCGAGUUCGUUUGGUCGAGGAAGAAAUACCAGCUGCAGGUGGUCGAUGCAGCAGUAGCAGUAGGCGUCAGUGGCGGGGCAGCAGCAGUAGUAGGCGUCGGUGGCGAGGAGGGAGCCGGCAGGGAAAGACCACCUCAGCAGCACAGCCGACGAGGAAGGAGCCGGCAGGGAAGGAGAGGCUGGGCCGGCGAUCGGUGUCUCCCAGCAACAGAGACGGGGCGCAGGGAAAGAUUGCGACGGAAUCGCGGAGGUUGACAGGGUUGCAGGUGCAGGUGGGCGGCGCCGCAGUGAUUGGUCGCGCAGGUGGGCGGCGGAAUCACGCAGCUGGGCGCCGGCAAGUGGUCGCGGUGGAUCGAGGACCAGCUCGCCUGGCGGUCACGGCGAUGGACGGCGGAAUCGGUGAGCAGCUGGUGGCGGGUGAGCGGCGGUGGGUGAUUGUGGGUGGGUUGCGAGCACCAGAAUCUCCAGCGCGGCGGAGGAAUCCCAUGGCGUCGGCCUCUGCCCCCUGGCGACGAGCGGGCGCUGGAUGGAGGAAGGAGAAAGAGUCAUGUACUUGUUUGCUACUAUUUUUAAAAUUGCGAGGUGUUUAUUGCAAAACAUCCACUAUACUGCGCCCGCGACAAUAAUUCUGGGGCGGAGGGAGUAGUAACUAACACA
Molecule: long non-coding RNA, 1648 nt
Organism: Triticum urartu
Lineage: Eukaryota; Viridiplantae; Streptophyta; Magnoliopsida; Poales; Poaceae
Source: RefSeq, a predicted model, not a curated record